AGGAUUUUCUGCUGGAGGAUCCCGUGUACCAGCUCAGUGUCGAGGAGACACGGAGACUCUCCACACACAGAUACUCGGCCUGGCUGGACCAGACGCCAACACACUGCAUCAUCUGCCUGGAGGUGCUUGUGGAGGGAACAGAGAUGUGCACAUUGCCCUGCACGCACGCACACUUCCACGCAGCCUGCAUCCACACCUGGCUACAGGAGAGCGGCACGUGUCCGGUGUGCCGUGCCCUCGUCGUCUUACACUGAGGAGGAAGCUGCAGCUCCAACCUUCAAGUCUCCCUCACCACCCAGAGUCUCACCACCCAGUGUCUCUGUGUCUCACUACCCAGUGGCUCAGUGUCUCAGUGUCUGUGUUAGACCACCAGUGUCUCACUACCCAGUGUCUCAGUGUCUCCCUACCCAGUGUCUCACUACCCAGUGUCUCACUACCCAGUGUCUCACUACCCAGUGUCUCACUACCCAGUGUCUCACUACCCAGUGUCUCAGUGUCUCAGUGUCUCACUACCCAGUGUCUCACCAUCCAGUGUCUCAGUGUCUCACUACCCAGUGUUUCACUAGCAGUGUCUCACCACCCAGUGUCUCACCACCCAGUGUCUCACUACCCAGUGUCUCAGUGUCUCAGUGUCUCACUACCCAGUGUCUCACCAUCCAUUGUCUCAGUGUCUCAGUGUCUCACUACCCAGUGUUUCACUAGCAGUGUCUCACUACCCAGUGUCUCACCACCCAGUGUCUCACCACCCAGUGUCUCACUACCCAGUGUCUCACUACCCAGUGUCUCACUACCCAGUGUCUCAGUGUCUCUGUGUCUCAGUGUUAGACCACCAGUGUCUCACUACCCAGUGUCUCUGUGCUCAGUGUCUCACUACCCAGUGUCUCACUACCCAGUGUCUCACUACCCAGUGUCUCUCUACCCAGUGUCUCAGUGUCUCAGUGUCUCAGUGUCUCAGACCACCGUCUCAAAGGCGACCAGCGCAAGGGCAAUGCCACAGCAUCACGGCUGGCUCAGUGUGAGCAGCAGAUGAACUGUGGGGGUGGGUGGUUUACGAGAAUUCUAGUAACAAUAAUGAUGGUGGUGGUGGUGACGAUGAUGACGAUGAUGGUGACGACGAUGAUGAUGGUGGUGACGAUGACGGUGGUGACGAUGAUGAUGGUGAUGAUGAUGGUGUUGGUGACGAUGAUGAUGGUGUUGGUGAUGAUGGUGAUGAUGAUGGUGGUGAUGAUGAUGGUGGUGACGAUGAUGGUGGCGAUGAUGAUGGUGAUGAUGAUGGUGUUGGUGACGAUGAUGAUGGUGUUGGUGAUGAUGGUGAUGAUGAUGGUGGUGACAAUGAUGAUGAUGGUGACGAUGAUGAUGGUGACGAUGAUGAUGAUGGUGUUGGUGACGAUGAUGAUGAUGUUGGUGUUGGUGACGAUGAUGAUGGUGGUGACGAUGAUGAUGAUGAUGAUGGUGUUGGUGACGAUGAUGAUGGUGGUGACGAUGAUGAUGAUGGUGGUGAUGAUGAUGGUGGUGACGAUGAUGGUGAUGGUGGUGAUGAUGAUGGUGGUGACGAUGAUGAUGAUGAUGGUGGUGACGAUGAUGGUGAUGGUGAUGAUGAUGAUGGUGUUGGUGACGAUGAUGAUGAUGAUGGUGGUGAUGAUGGUGGUGAUGAUGGUGGUGACGAUGAUGAUGGUGGUGUUGAUGUUUGUUAGCCCCUGCCUCUGGUGAGACAGGCUGCUUCAAACACAAAACAAGAAAGUAGUACAUAGUGUAGUACAUAGUGUAGUGUGUAGUGUAGUGUAGUGUGUAGUAGUAUAGUGUAUAGUGUCAUGUAGUGUAGUAUAUAGUAGUGUAGUGUAUAGUGUCAUGUAGUGUAGUGUAUAGUGUAGUUUAUAGUGUAUAGUGUCAUGUAGUGUAGUAUAUAGUGGUGUAUAGUAGUGUAGUGUAUAGUGUCAUGCAGUGUAGUAUAUAGUGUAGUUUAUAGUGUAGUGUAUAGUGUCAUGUAGUGUGGUGUAUAGUGUAGUGUAGUGUGGUGUAUAGUGUAGUUUAUAGUGUAUAGUGUCAUGUAGUGUGGUGUAUAGUUUAUAGUGUAGUGUAUAGUGUAGUGUAUAGUGUAGUGUAUAGUGUAUAUUGUGUUUCAAAAUGAUGGACCCAAUUUCAAAUCAGUCUUGCCAAUGACUGAGCCCCGGGGCUGUUUGUGCGCUGGGAGGUCAUCACUGUGACCUCUACA
Long non-coding RNA from Lethenteron reissneri (Far Eastern brook lamprey), 2212 nucleotides. RefSeq lists it as uncharacterized. The record is from RefSeq and is a predicted model, not a curated record. NCBI's taxonomy places the organism in Eukaryota, Metazoa, Chordata, Hyperoartia, Petromyzontiformes, Petromyzontidae.